Molecule: long non-coding RNA, 283 nt
Filed under: Ananas comosus (pineapple)
Lineage: Eukaryota; Viridiplantae; Streptophyta; Magnoliopsida; Poales; Bromeliaceae
Description: long non-coding RNA (ACOM_LNC004530)
Source: RNAcentral
AAUUCGGGACGAAAGCAUAUGUACCGUUGAAUCCAAACUACAGUUCAAAAAUAUUUAAACUCAGUUAUUAUUAUUAGGGUGUGAAGCCUUAUAUAUUUUUACUCUAAAUUAUUUUUUAUUUGAUGUGGGACAAUAACAAUUAGUACGUUAUAUAAAAAGUAUAUUAUAAUCGAUUCUAAGAUAUACGCAAUCUGAUACAAAUUAAAAAAAACGACACACCGUGUCGACUAUAAUCUCUCCAUAUUUCUAAACAGAGUCCUGUAUUUUCUGACCUAAAGCUGAA